Molecule: ribosomal RNA, 433 nt
Filed under: uncultured bacterium
Lineage: Bacteria
Description: partial 16S ribosomal RNA
Rfam family: Bacterial small subunit ribosomal RNA
Source: RNAcentral
AACGAACGCUGGCGGCAGGCCUAACACAUGCAAGUCGAGCGAGCAUUUCGGUGCUAGCGGCGGACGGGUGAGUAACGCGUGGGAACGUGCCCUUUUCUGCGGAAUAGUCCUGGGAAACUGGGGGUAAUACCGCAUACGCCCUUUUGGGGAAAGAUUUAUCGGAGAAGGAUCGGCCCGCGUUGGAUUAGGUAGUUGGUGGGGUAAUGGCCCACCAAGCCGACGAUCCAUAGCUGGGUUGAGAGGAUGAUCAGCCACACUGGGACUGAGACACGGCCCAGAAUCCUACGGGAGGCAGCAGUGGGGAAUCUUAGACAAUGGGGGCAACCCUGAUCGAGCCAUGCCGCGUGAGUGAUGAAGGCCUUAGGGUUGUAAAGCUCUUUCAGCUGGGAAGAUAAUGACGGUACCAGCAGAAGAAGCCCCGGCUAACUCCGUG